RNAcentral lists this ribosomal RNA (274 nucleotides) under uncultured bacterium. RNAcentral's name for it is "partial 16S ribosomal RNA". It matches the Rfam family "Bacterial small subunit ribosomal RNA", at positions 523 to 796 of the family's 1533-position model. The record is from RNAcentral.
AUACGGAGGGUGCGAGCGUUACUCGGAAUUACUGGGCGUAAAGGGCGCGUAGGCGGCUGGGCGAGUCUGGUGUGAAAGCCCAGGGCUCAACUCUGGAAGUGCACUGGAUACUGCCUGGCUUGAGUACCGGAGAGGAGGGGGGAAUUCCCGGUGUAGCGGUGAAAUGCGUAGAUAUCGGGAGGAAUACCGGUGGCGAAGGCGCCCCUCUGGACGGUUACUGACGCUGAGGCGCGAAAGCGUAGGGAGCAAACAGGAUUAGAUACCCUAGUAGUCC